Long non-coding RNA from Oreochromis aureus, 693 nucleotides. NCBI's taxonomy places the organism in Eukaryota, Metazoa, Chordata, Actinopteri, Cichliformes, Cichlidae. The record is from Ensembl.
AACGAGCUCACAAAGAGCACGCGCAUUUUUUGCGGUCCGGAGCUGUAGGAGAAACACAAAUUAACUCGGAGACACAGACUGAUGCGACAAAACCAACAUGGCUGGUAAGGACAUGAGGAGGAAACAGUAGGAGCUGUGUGAGGCUACUAAAGGCAGUGGAUCCCUCAGCAGCUGGAUUACAAAGAGCACAGUCUCAGAUCAACACAGCCCUGCCCUCCAACACUAUCAGCAGCAGGAGCAGCAGCAACCCCUCAACAGCAACAUUGUACCCAUCAGCUUUGAGCACCCGCCCCUAUAAACGUCUCUGCACGGCCCUGUAGAGCACAGAUUUUAAGCUGGCGAGGUGUGAUUGUGAUGCUGCGCAGCUGCGUCCGCCUUCCCUGCUGCGGCACGCUGUACUGUAAUAACUAUUUCUCAAGAUCACUUAAAAAAAUUACAAUAAUAUCUGACUUCUUGGAAGCAAAAUAUAAAGAAAUUAACAUUCAGACAAAACUACUUUACCUUGUAGUAUUCACCAUAAAGUUUUGAGAUCAGACCAAUGAAAGGGAAUCCCAUGAUGGUCACCAGUGUGAGCUUCCAGGACAUGCCACACAUGAAGAUGAAGAAGCCAACGCCCUUAAGAACGUUCUCCAGGAAGACAUUGACGUUCUGGGAGAUGAGGUCGCUCACCUGGGUGGUGUCAGCAGACAGGCG